Molecule: ribosomal RNA, 1459 nt
Filed under: uncultured organism
Description: SSU rRNA
Rfam family: Bacterial small subunit ribosomal RNA
Source: RNAcentral
AACGCUGGCGGCAGGCCUAACACAUGCAAGUCGAGCGGUAGCACAGAGAGCUUGCUCUCGGGUGACGAGCGGCGGACGGGUGAGUAAUGUCUGGGAAACUGCCUGAUGGAGGGGGAUAACUACUGGAAACGGUAGCUAAUACCGCAUAAUGUCGCAAGACCAAAGUGGGGGACCUUCGGGCCUCAUGCCAUCAGAUGUGCCCAGAUGGGAUUAGCUAGUAGGUGGGGUAAUGGCUCACCUAGGCGACGAUCCCUAGCUGGUCUGAGAGGAUGACCAGCCACACUGGAACUGAGACACGGUCCAGACUCCUACGGGAGGCAGCAGUGGGGAAUAUUGCACAAUGGGCGCAAGCCUGAUGCAGCCAUGCCGCGUGUGUGAAGAAGGCCUUCGGGUUGUAAAGCACUUUCAGCGGGGAGGAAGGCGUUAAGGUUAAUAACCUUGGCGAUUGACGUUACCCGCAGAAGAAGCACCGGCUAACUCCGUGCCAGCAGCCGCGGUAAUACGGAGGGUGCAAGCGUUAAUCGGAAUUACUGGGCGUAAAGCGCACGCAGGCGGUCUGUCAAGUCGGAUGUGAAAUCCCCGGGCUCAACCUGGGAACUGCAUUCGAAACUGGCAGGCUAGAGUCUUGUAGAGGGGGGUAGAAUUCCAGGUGUAGCGGUGAAAUGCGUAGAGAUCUGGAGGAAUACCGGUGGCGAAGGCGGCCCCCUGGACAAAGACUGACGCUCAGGUGCGAAAGCGUGGGGAGCAAACAGGAUUAGAUACCCUGGUAGUCCACGCCGUAAACGAUGUCGAUUUGGAGGUUGUGCCCUUGAGGCGUGGCUUCCGGAGCUAACGCGUUAAAUCGACCGCCUGGGGAGUACGGCCGCAAGGUUAAAACUCAAAUGAAUUGACGGGGGCCCGCACAAGCGGCGGAGCAUGUGGUUUAAUUCGAUGCAACGCGAAGAACCUUACCUGGUCUUGACAUCCACAGAACUUAGCAGAGAUGCUUUGGUGCCUUCGGGAACUGUGAGACAGGUGCUGCAUGGCUGUCGUCAGCUCGUGUUGUGAAAUGUUGGGUUAAGUCCCGCAACGAGCGCAACCCUUAUCCUUUGUUGCCAGCGGUUAGGCCGGGAACUCAAAGGAGACUGCCAGUGAUAAACUGGAGGAAGGUGGGGAUGACGUCAAGUCAUCAUGGCCCUUACGACCAGGGCUACACACGUGCUACAAUGGCAUAUACAAAGAGAAGCGACCUCGCGAGAGCAAGCGGACCUCAUAAAGUAUGUCGUAGUCCGGAUUGGAGUCUGCAACUCGACUCCAUGAAGUCGGAAUCGCUAGUAAUCGUAGAUCAGAAUGCUACGGUGAAUACGUUCCCGGGCCUUGUACACACCGCCCGUCACACCAUGGGAGUGGGUUGCAAAAGAAGUAGGUAGCUUAACCUUCGGGAGGGCGCUUACCACUUUGUGAUUCAUGACUGGGGUGA